CUGGAGGACCGAACCGACUAAUGUUGAAAAAUUAGCGGAUGACUUGUGGCUGGGGGUGAAAGGCCAAUCAAACCGGGAGAUAGCUGGUUCUCCCCGAAAUCUAUUUAGGUAGAGCCUUGAGCGGACACCUUCGGGGGUAGAGCACUGUUUCGGCUAGGGGUCCAUCCCGGAUUACCAACCCGAUGCAAACUACGAAUACCGAAGAGUGAUACUCAGGAGACACACGGCGGGUGCUAACGUCCGUCGUGGAGAGGGAAACAACCCAGACCGCCAGCUAAGGUCCCAAAGUCUAUAUUAAGUGGGAAACGAAGUGGGAAGGCUUAGACAGCUAGGAUGUUGGCUUAGAAGCAGCCAUCAUUUAAAGAAAGCGUAAUAGCUCACUAGUCGAGUCGGCCUGCGCGGAAGAUGUAACGGGGCUCAAAUAUAGCACCGAAGCUGCGGCAUCAGUAGCAAUACUGUUGGGUAGGGGAGCGUUCUGUAAGCGGAUGAAGGUGGCUCGAGAGGGCUGCUGGACGUAUCAGAAGUGCGAAUGCUGACAUAAGUAACGAUAAAACGGGUGAAAAACCCGUUCGCCGGAAGACCAAGGGUUCCUGUCCAACGUUAAUCGGGGCAGGGUGAGUCGGCCCCUAAGGCGAGGCUGAAAAGCGUAGUCGAUGGGAAACGGGUUAAUAUUCCCGUACUUGGAUAAACUGCGAUGUGGGGACGGAGCAGGUUAGGUUAUCGCACUGUUGGAUAUGUGCGUUUAAGUUGGUAGGUGAGAAGUUUAGGCAAAUCCGGACUUCUAUAACACCGAGAGAUGAUGACGAGGCUCUACGGAGCUGAAGUAACCGAUACCACACUUCCAGGAAAAGCCACUAAGCUUCAGGUUUAUCUAAACCGUACUGAAAACCGACACAGGUGGUCAGGUAGAGAAUACUCAGGCGCUUGAGAGAACUCGGGUGAAGGAACUAGGCAAAAUAGCACCGUAACUUCGGGAGAAGGUGCGCCGGCGUAGAUUGUAGUCCCUUGCGGAUGAAGGUUGAACCGGUCGAAGAUACCAGCUGGCUGCAACUGUUUAUUAAAAACACAGCACUCUGCAAACACGAAAGUGGACGUAUAGGGUGUGAUGCCUGCCCGGUGCUGGAAGGUUAAUUGAUGGUGUAAUCGAAAGAGAAGCUCCUGAUCGAAGCCCCAGUAAACGGCGGCCGUAACUAUAACGGUCCUAAGGUAGCGAAAUUCCUUGUCGGGUAAGUUCCGACCUGCACGAAUGGCAUAAUGAUGGCCAGGCUGUCUCCACCCGAGACUCAGUGAAAUUGAAAUCGCCGUGAAGAUGCGGUGUACCCGCGGCUAGACGGAAAGACCCCGUGAACCUUUACUAUAGCUUGACACUGAACAUUGAAUUUUGAUGUGUAGGAUAGGUGGGAGACUU
RNAcentral lists this ribosomal RNA (1408 nucleotides) under human gut metagenome. Its description in RNAcentral is "bacterial LSU rRNA". It matches the Rfam family "Bacterial large subunit ribosomal RNA", at positions 766 to 2157 of the family's 2925-position model. The record is from RNAcentral.